CCAGACUCCUACGGGAGGCAGCAGUGGGGAAUAUUGGACAAUGGGGGGAACCCUGAUCCAGCGACGCCGCGUGAGUGAAGAAGUAUUUCGGUAUGUAAAGCUCUAUCAGCAGGGAAGAAAGAAAUGACGGUACCUGACUAAGAAGCCCCGGCUAACUACGUGCCAGCAGCCGCGGUAAUACGUAGGGGGCAAGCGUUAUCCGGAUUUACUGGGUGUAAAGGGAGCGUAGACGGCGAUGCAAGUCUGAAGUGAAAGGCGGGGGCCCAACCCCCGGACUGCUUUGGAAACUGUAUAGCUGGAGUGCAGGAGAGGUAAGUGGAAUUCCUAGUGUAGCGGUGAAAUGCGUAGAUAUUAGGAGGAACACCAGUGGCGAAGGCGGAUGACUGGACGGCAACUGACGGUGAGGCGCGAAAGCGUGGGGAGCAAACAGGAUUAGAUACCCCUGUA
RNAcentral lists this ribosomal RNA (447 nucleotides) under uncultured bacterium. RNAcentral's name for it is "partial 16S ribosomal RNA". It matches the Rfam family "Bacterial small subunit ribosomal RNA", at positions 331 to 792 of the family's 1533-position model. The record is from RNAcentral.